Molecule: unclassified non-coding RNA, 314 nt
Filed under: Alteromonas macleodii
Lineage: Bacteria; Pseudomonadati; Pseudomonadota; Gammaproteobacteria; Alteromonadales; Alteromonadaceae
Description: partial 16S-23S ribosomal RNA intergenic spacer
Source: RNAcentral
UGUCGCGAUUAAUUGCUUUAUCGGAAGCCAAGCUUCCUGACAAUUAAUCUACUCGCUAAAGAAGUGAAACCUAGAUGUUUUUCUAUGUUCUUUAACAAUUUGGAAAGCUGAUAUUAAUAGUAAUCAAUCAAAAUUGAGUAACUGAGAAGUCGAAAGACGUACUUUUUACUCUACUUGACUUGAAUUGCUUGUUAUCAACAUUGAUUGAUAGCAAGGCAAUUCUUCCGAUUAGCUUGUCAUGCAUACAAUAUUACCCUUGUCCGAAUUCAAAAGGCGGACAUGAGGCCGAUACUCAAGGCUUUUUAGGGUUGUAU